RNAcentral lists this ribosomal RNA (196 nucleotides) under uncultured bacterium. Its description in RNAcentral is "partial 16S ribosomal RNA". It matches the Rfam family "Bacterial small subunit ribosomal RNA", at positions 1297 to 1500 of the family's 1533-position model. The record is from RNAcentral.
AUCGGAGUCUGCAACCCGACUCCGUGAAGCUGGAUUCGCUAGUAAUCGCGCAUCAGCCAUGGCGCGGUGAAUACGUUCCCGGGCCUUGUACACACCGCCCGUCAAGCCAUGGAAGCCGGGAGUGCCUGAAGUGUGCAACCGCAAGGAGCGCCCUAAGGUAAAACUGGUGACUGGGGCUAAGUCGUAACAAGGUAUC